GGCGAACCGAGCGAACGUUGUUCGGAAUUACUGGGCGUAAAGGGCGCGUAGGUGGCCUUCUAAGUUGAACGUGAAAUCCCUGGGCUCAACCCAGGAACUGCGUCCAAGACUGGGAGGCUUGAAUCCGGGAGAGGGAUGCGGAAUUCCAGGUGUAGCGGUGAAAUGCGUAGAUAUCUGGAGGAACACCGGUGGCGAAGGCGGCAUCCUGGACCGGUAUUGACACUGAGGCGCGAAAGCCAGGGGAGCAAACGGG
This 253-nucleotide ribosomal RNA is filed under the name uncultured bacterium. RNAcentral describes it as "partial 16S ribosomal RNA". It matches the Rfam family "Bacterial small subunit ribosomal RNA", at positions 524 to 776 of the family's 1533-position model. The record is from RNAcentral.